RNAcentral lists this transfer RNA (75 nucleotides) under Fructilactobacillus fructivorans. RNAcentral's name for it is "Lactobacillus fructivorans tRNA". It matches the Rfam family "tRNA". From Rfam's summary of the family: Transfer RNA (tRNA) molecules are approximately 80 nucleotides in length. Their secondary structure includes four short double-helical elements and three loops (D, anti-codon, and T loops). The record is from Rfam by way of RNAcentral. Lineage: Bacteria; Bacillati; Bacillota; Bacilli; Lactobacillales; Lactobacillaceae. RNAcentral also lists the same sequence under 1 other name.
GGGUCUAUAGCUCAGUCGGUUUAGAGCGCACGCCUGAUAAGCGUGAGGUCGAUGGUUCGAGUCCACCUAGACCCA